UGCCAGCCGCCGCGGUAAUACGGAGGGUGCAAGCGUUGUUCGGAAUUAUUGGGCGUAAAGCGCGUGUAGGCGGUUCGUUAAGUCUGAUGUGAAAGCCCGGGGCUCAACCCCGGAAGUGCAUUGGAAACUGGCGAACUUGAGUACGGGAGAGGAAAGUGGAAUUCCGAGUGUAGGGGUGAAAUCCGUAGAUAUUCGGAGGAACACCAGUGGCGUAGGCGGGCGACUGGACGAGUACUGACGCUGAGGCACGAAAGCGUGGGGAGCAAACAGGAUUAGAUA
Molecule: ribosomal RNA, 279 nt
Filed under: uncultured bacterium
Lineage: Bacteria
Description: partial 16S ribosomal RNA
Rfam family: Bacterial small subunit ribosomal RNA
Source: RNAcentral